This 75-nucleotide transfer RNA is filed under the name Oscillibacter sp. RNAcentral describes it as "tRNA-Gln". It matches the Rfam family "tRNA". From Rfam's summary of the family: Transfer RNA (tRNA) molecules are approximately 80 nucleotides in length. Their secondary structure includes four short double-helical elements and three loops (D, anti-codon, and T loops). The record is from RNAcentral. Lineage: Bacteria; Bacillati; Bacillota; Clostridia; Eubacteriales; Oscillospiraceae.
AGGGGCGUAGCCAAGUGGUAAGGCAAGGGACUUUGUCUCCCUCAUUCGCUGGUUCGAGUCCAGCCGUCCCUGCCA